AGCGUACACGGUGGAUGCCCUGGCAGUCAGAGGCGAUGAAGGACGUGCUAAUCUGCGAUAAGCGUCGGUGAGGUGAUAUGAACCGUUAUAACCGGCGAUUUCCGAAUGGGGAAACCCAGUGUGUUUCGACACACUAUCAUUAACUGAAUCCAUAGGUUAAUGAGGCGAACCGGGGGAACUGAAACAUCUAAGUACCCCGAGGAAAAGAAAUCAACCGAGAUUCCCCCAGUAGCGGCGAGCGAACGGGGAGGAGCCCAGAGCCUGAAUCAGUGUGUGUGUUAGUGGAAGCGUCUGGAAAGGCGUGCGAUACAGGGUGACAGCCCCGUACACAAAAAUGCACAUAUUGUGAGCUCGAUGAGUAGGGCGGGACACGUGGUAUCCUGUCUGAAUAUGGGGGGACCAUCCUCCAAGGCUAAAUACUCCUGACUGACCGAUAGUGAACCAGUACCGUGAGGGAAAGGCGAAAAGAACCCCGGCGAGGGGAGUGAAAAAGAACCUGAAACCGUGUACGUACAAGCAGUGGGAGCCUCUUAAUGGGGUGACUGCGUACCUUUUGUAUAAUGGGUCAGCGACUUAUAUUCUGUAGCAAGGUUAACCGAAUAGGGGAGCCGAAGGGAAACCGAGUCUUAACUGGGCGUUAAGUUGCAGGGUAUAGACCCGAAACCCGGUGAUCUAGCCAUGGGCAGGUUGAAGGUUGGGUAACACUAACUGGAGGACCGAACCGACUAAUGUUGAAAAAUUAGCGGAUGACUUGUGGCUGGGGGUGAAAGGCCAAUCAAACCGGGAGAUAGCUGGUUCUCCCCGAAAGCUAUUUAGGUAGCGCCUCGUGAAUUCAUCUCCGGGGGUAGAGCACUGUUUCGGCAAGGGGGUCAUCCCGACUUACCAACCCGAUGCAAACUGCGAAUACCGGAGAAUGUUAUCACGGGAGACACACGGCGGGUGCUAACGUCCGUCGUGAAGAGGGAAACAACCCAGACCGCCAGCUAAGGUCCCAAAGUCAUGGUUAAGUGGGAAACGAUGUGGGAAGGCCCAGACAGCCAGGAUGUUGGCUUAGAAGCAGCCAUCAUUUAAAGAAAGCGUAAUAGCUCACUGGUCGAGUCGGCCUGCGCGGAAGAUGUAACGGGGCUAAACCAUGCACCGAAGCUGCGGCAGCGACACUAUGUGUUGUUGGGUAGGGGAGCGUUCUGUAAGCCUGUGAAGGUGGCCUGUGAGGGUUGCUGGAGGUAUCAGAAGUGCGAAUGCUGACAUAAGUAACGAUAAAGCGGGUGAAAAGCCCGCUCGCCGGAAGACCAAGGGUUCCUGUCCAACGUUAAUCGGGGCAGGGUGAGUCGACCCCUAAGGCGAGGCCGAAAGGCGUAGUCGAUGGGAAACAGGUUAAUAUUCCUGUACUUGGUGUUACUGCGAAGGGGGGACGGAGAAGGCUAUGUUGGCCGGGCGACGGUUGUCCCGGUUUAAGCGUGUAGGCUGGUUUUCCAGGCAAAUCCGGAAAACCAAGGCUGAGGCGUGAUGACGAAGCACUACGGUGCUGAAGCGACAAAUGCCCUGCUUCCAGGAAAAGCCUCUAAGCAUCAGGUAACAUCAAAUCGUACCCCAAACCGACACAGGUGGUCAGGUAGAGAAUACCAAGGCGCUUGAGAGAACUCGGGUGAAGGAACUAGGCAAAAUGGUGCCGUAACUUCGGGAGAAGGCACGCUGAUAUGUAGGUGAAGCGACUUGCUCGUGGAGCUGAAAUCAGUCGAAGAUACCAGCUGGCUGCAACUGUUUAUUAAAAACACAGCACUGUGCAAACACGAAAGUGGACGUAUACGGUGUGACGCCUGCCCGGUGCCGGAAGGUUAAUUGAUGGGGUUAGCGGUAACGCGAAGCUCUUGAUCGAAGCCCCGGUAAACGGCGGCCGUAACUAUAACGGUCCUAAGGUAGCGAAAUUCCUUGUCGGGUAAGUUCCGACCUGCACGAAUGGCGUAAUGAUGGCCAGGCUGUCUCCACCCGAGACUCAGUGAAAUUGAACUCGCUGUGAAGAUGCAGUGUACCCGCGGCAAGACGGAAAGACCCCGUGAACCUUUACUAUAGCUUGACACUGAACAUUGAGCCUUGAUGUGUAGGAUAGGUGGGAGGCUUUGAAGUGUGGACGCCAGUCUGCAUGGAGCCGACCUUGAAAUACCACCCUUUAAUGUUUGAUGUUCUAACGUUGGCCCGUAAUCCGGGUUGCGGACAGUGUCUGGUGGGUAGUUUGACUGGGGCGGUCUCCUCCUAAAGAGUAACGGAGGAGCACGAAGGUUGGCUAAUCCUGGUCGGACAUCAGGAGGUUAGUGCAAUGGCAUAAGCCAGCUUGACUGCGAGCGUGACGGCGCGAGCAGGUGCGAAAGCAGGUCAUAGUGAUCCGGUGGUUCUGAAUGGAAGGGCCAUCGCUCAACGGAUAAAAGGUACUCCGGGGAUAACAGGCUGAUACCGCCCAAGAGUUCAUAUCGACGGCGGUGUUUGGCACCUCGAUGUCGGCUCAUCACAUCCUGGGGCUGAAGUAGGUCCCAAGGGUAUGGCUGUUCGCCAUUUAAAGUGGUACGCGAGCUGGGUUUAGAACGUCGUGAGACAGUUCGGUCCCUAUCUGCCGUGGGCGCUGGAGAACUG
This 2625-nucleotide ribosomal RNA is filed under the name Escherichia coli. RNAcentral's name for it is "bacterial LSU rRNA". It matches the Rfam family "Bacterial large subunit ribosomal RNA". Lineage: Bacteria; Pseudomonadati; Pseudomonadota; Gammaproteobacteria; Enterobacterales; Enterobacteriaceae. The record is from RNAcentral.